This is a long non-coding RNA of Vidua chalybeata, 461 nucleotides long. RefSeq lists it as uncharacterized. The transcript is spliced from 3 exons. NCBI's taxonomy places the organism in Eukaryota, Metazoa, Chordata, Aves, Passeriformes, Viduidae. The record is from RefSeq and is a predicted model, not a curated record.
CUGGCCUGCUCAGGUGCUGCCCCUUGGCAAGAGGGCUCUUCCCUUGGCAUUUUCUCAAAGGGAUGCUCCGUGCCCAGCCAAACAGGAAUUGCAUCCAAAAUUGCAGACAGCGAACGAUUUCUCACAGACAACAGAUGCCAACACCAAGAACUCUUGCUGCCCUCGGGGUGAAGCACACCACCAGUGAACAGACAUCAAUACACGCUGGAUUCCUCCUCGAGAAUGCUGCCAGCAUGUAACCCUUACACGAACCACUUCGCCGGGCCCAGAAAUCACAACCUUCAGACCAGCAGCGUGGGACCUUGCCCACUGCCCCUCCACUGGCACCUUUCCAAAGCAUUGCACUACAUUCCAGUAAUACUCUGCAUUUCCAGUGGGCAGCCUGUCUGACCCUCAUCCUGACCCUAAAAAUGCACUAAGGAAUUCUAAAACAGCCCUUAGGAAGGUGUAACAAUACCCUA